GACGAACGCUGGCGGCGUGCUUAACACAUGCAAGUCGAACGGUAAGGCCCUUCGGGGUACACGAGUGGCGAACGGGUGAGUAACACGUGGGUGAUCUGCCCUGCACUUCGGGAUAAGCCUGGGAAACUGGGUCUAAUACCGGAUAGGACUCCUGGCUUCAUGGUUGGGGGUGGAAAGCUUUUGCGGUGUGGGAUGGGCCCGCGGCCUAUCAGCUUGGGGGUUGGGUAAUGGCCUACCAAGGCGACGACGGGUAGCCGGCCUGAGAGGGUGACCGGUAACACUGGGACUGAGAUACGGCCCAGACUCCUACGGGAGGCAGCAGUGGGGAAUAUUGCACAAUGGGCGCAAGCCUGAUGCAGCGACGCCGCGUGAGGGAUGACGGCCUUCGGGUUGUAAACCUCUUUCAGCUAUGACGAAGCGCAAGUGACGGUAGUAGCAGAAGAAGGACCGGCCAACUACGUGCCAGCAGCCGCCGUAA
This 478-nucleotide ribosomal RNA is filed under the name uncultured bacterium. Its description in RNAcentral is "partial 16S ribosomal RNA". It matches the Rfam family "Bacterial small subunit ribosomal RNA", at positions 28 to 523 of the family's 1533-position model. The record is from RNAcentral.